This 128-nucleotide transfer RNA is filed under the name Clonostachys rosea f. rosea IK726. It matches the Rfam family "tRNA". From Rfam's summary of the family: Transfer RNA (tRNA) molecules are approximately 80 nucleotides in length. Their secondary structure includes four short double-helical elements and three loops (D, anti-codon, and T loops). Further hydrogen bonds mediate the characteristic L-shaped molecular structure. tRNAs have two regions of fundamental functional importance: the anti-codon, which is responsible for specific mRNA codon recognition, and the 3' end, to which the tRNAs corresponding amino acid is attached (by aminoacyl-tRNA synthetases). tRNAs cope with the degeneracy of the genetic code in two manners: having more than one tRNA (with a specific anti-codon) for a particular amino acid; and 'wobble' base-pairing, i.e. permitting non-standard base-pairing at the 3rd anti-codon position. The record is from RNAcentral. Lineage: Eukaryota; Fungi; Ascomycota; Sordariomycetes; Hypocreales; Bionectriaceae.
GCGUAAUUAGUCUAGUGGUAAGUUACAUCAAUGUUACCAACUUACCAAUUCCAGAUGAUUAACAUCGUUUCAGGUUAGGAUUGGUGCCUUCCAAGCACUAGGGCUGGGUUCGAUUCCCAGAUUACGCA